This 27898-nucleotide long non-coding RNA is filed under the name Lactuca sativa (garden lettuce). RNAcentral's name for it is "long non-coding RNA (LSAT_LNC007074)". The record is from RNAcentral. Lineage: Eukaryota; Viridiplantae; Streptophyta; Magnoliopsida; Asterales; Asteraceae.
ACAAGUUCGGAGUUCACUUAAACUAAUGCUCUGAUACCAACUGUGACAUCAUCUAAUUUUCAUAAAAAAUUAAAACUUCUCUUUACGCUUUAAAAUCAUUUAUUUAUAUUUGCGGAAAAUAUCAGUACAAAUGAUCAUUAUAAUUACAAAUGUUUGUUUCCAAUAUUUUAAAACCCUAAGGAUGUCAUAAUCAAUACAGAUAGAUAUGUUACAACGUAAAGACCUGAUGGUCCUAAAUACUAUUUUAGGUUGUCUCUUAAUCACUCAGCAUCCUAACCAAUUUCCAGUAGCUUAAGUCUUGAUACAUGUAAUUCAUAUAAACUGAGUGGGUCAGGUUAGGGAAACCUAGGGAAAUACAUAGGGAUUUCAAUCACAAAAUAUUGAUAUGAUAAUAUUCCUUAAUUUUUAGACCUGCAAAACCAGCCGUUUCCAUACUAUAUCCAUAUAGUCUUACAUUCCUACAUAUCUAUCCCUAGCGAUCAUCACAGAUACUAGGCCAAGAUUAUCAGGGGGAAAUUAUCUCGAAUGACGAGCCAUGAAAAGAUUGACUAUAUAUCUAGGGGAUUCAUUGGCAUAUGUAAGUCACAAAGAAUAUGUAAACAUACCAUUACAGGUGUCUGAUCGGGACCUACCAUUUCUGGUUAUCCAAGAAUAUGCAGACAUACCACUAUAGUUGUCUGAUCGGGACCCAUCAUAUCUAGCCAUCCCAAGGGGAAUACUAUAUCAUACUCCCGUACGGAGCUACCAUACAUCGACAACUGAAAGUGUCACAGAACAAAACUUUACUCUCCGUUCCUAGGUUACGCACAUUCUCCUAAUGACACUGCCUUAUAUCAAACUUAAUUGAACUAGGUACCUUCCACAAGUCUAAGUUUAUCCCUAUACUAGAUUACAGUGCAUGUAACCAUCUUUUAAUACCAACUCUAUUCUUGGAUGACACUAACCUAUCUCUAGUGUAUUUAUAUUCCCUACAAAGCAUUAGGUAUUAUUAUUCUUUUAUCUUCUCAGCAAUGCUACUUUUAAUAUUAUUAUAUGAUAUUAUCUAUUUAAACCUAACAUAAACUAGAACCCUAUCUAGUUCGCACAUAGGACAUUAUAUACAUAUAUUAACAUAUAAUCCAGGCAACAAACAUAUAAUUCAUAUACGAUUCCCAGUGUGUAUUUAAUACUUUAAUGUAAUACUUGUAUUAAAUCAUGUUCAUGAAAAGGACUAUGCACUCACUUGACUUAGGUAGGUGACAGACGAUUUCAGCAGCGCCUCACUUCGUACUUUCAAAAGACCUAGAUGCAUAAAGUAUUAUGCUUUAUUCUAGUUUCGUAAUCCCGAUGACUAUAAAAAUUAUAGUUUAGAUUCCUUACUAAACCCAAUUUCUACAUCAAGAUCUAUCAAGUAAGGAUCAGCCAGGCAGGACAGUUGGGAGGCAGGACUAUUUCGGGCGUAUAGCCUUUCUGAAAUCAAAAAACCAAGCCAACGUGACCAUUCUAGACACCUCUCCAGUAAGUAUACGAGUCAAUAUUAUGACUUGUAAUCACUGAUAAAUCUUAUUUAUAGGUUCAUAAUAACGACUUAUAACUAUAAAUACAAGUUACACUGAAAAAAACUAGAGUGUUGGUUAACUUAAAGUGGUUCCUCCUGAUAAAAGUUAGGAAAUUGCACUAGCAGAGAUUCUACUCGCUAGCUACUACUACUUUAGGGGUUUCAGGGCUUCACCAAAGACUAAAAGUAAGAUAAAAUAGGAUAUAAUUGAAAGAAAUUGGGAGAGAGUGUUUGGUAAGUUGUAGGAGAAAUAAUGAGGUUUGGCCUCCUAUUUAUAGCCGAUUUUAGGGUGCAUGUCGUGCAUUUUAAGGUGACGUCUCCCCAACUAUUUGUAUGCCAUGUGUCAGCCUCUCUGUGGUCCACAUUUUCUCCUUCUAGAAGCGUGCAUUGCGCACUCGGCGUUCACCGUGCGCCGUGCAAAAAUGCAGAUUUUGUAUAUUCCGUAAUUUCGUCAUACGAGCUCCGUCUUCAACGUUCUUUAUAUCCUCAUAAAUUUCUUGACGAGGUCUACAACUUUUCUUUAAACUCCAUCGGCUAAUUCUGAAUUUAUUUUUCGUCCCUAUUUUUUAUAUGAUUAAAUUAUUUUGCUAAAAUCGUAACUCUCUUGUACGGAUUCCGUUUUUGGCAUUAUUUACGGAGUCGGAUUUCUAUGAAAUUUAUAUUUUUGGGAUCGAGACGAUGUGUACUUUCUCUCUCUAUAUAUAUAUAUAUAUAUAUAUAUNACACAUGUAUUUUUAUGAUUUACGGGCGAUUCAACUGAUUUUCCUAUUUUUCCUUAAUACGAAACAUGUAUUAUAUAGUCUACAGGGCGCAGGACUAUAGGUUAUCCUAUUCAAGGAUUUUAAUUUUAAUAAUUAUUACUUAUUAUAUGUUGGCUGAAUUUACAGGCGUUACAGAAUAUUAUAACAUAAAAGUAAAUUCAUUAACAUAUUAUUGUAAAUAUUAACAAUUGUUUUGACAUGGUGAAAUCCAAAUUGAAAUUCUAUUAUCAAGACAUAAAUUGAACGAAUGAAUUCUCAUAAGUCUAUCAGAUGAUGUUUAACAUCCAUCACUUCAUAUUGUAAAUCGAUACACUAUAGAUGUGAAAUAAAUAUAAAUGAACUUUUGACAUUUCCUAAAGCCUAAGGAACGCAUUGUUGUUAUCAUGUGACCACAUAGUAUAAUGGAGUGUUAUAAGUUUCCACAUGUACAAGUGAUCUUGUAUAUCUUUUAGAUUAACAACACCAUUCUUUAUAAAAUCUUGUACUUCAAAUUUGAUGGUGUGUAAUGGGUAUAACGUCAAGUUACACACUUAUUACGAUUAUGAAUUUUACGCACUUAUGCAUCUUCAUUCCAAGCACCAUUUUUGUAUAAGGUGUCAUUUUAUCAUAUAGUCUCGUUGAAAAAAUAUAUUAGGAUUAUUAAUUUAACAAUGUUAAUAUAUAUAUAUAUAUAUAUAUAUAUAUAUAUAUAUAUAUGUGUGUGUGUGUGUGUGUGUGUGUGUGUGUGUGCGCGCUCAAAAUAUAACCAAAUUACACAACAUAACUAUUGAGUUUUCUAUGCAACUAUACAUGAAUUUUAGGCAACGGAAGCAAGUGAUAAUAACCCUGAGUAUACAUACACCCUAGAUCUAGGUUUUUACUAUUAUAGCAACCUACUUUCAAACCUACAAGAUUAAUGCUACAAGAGGGAUAUAAUUACUAGCCUUUAAGCAAAAUUGGAUUAAACACUAAAAAUCAAGGAAAGAGGAGAGAAGAGAUAUGAAAACUUAAAUUCAAAGAGUGCUAGGAGAAAAGGGACAAAAAUUAUGAAGCCAAAAGUGUCAAUUUAUAGCUGAGCAAACUUGCAGAGAAAACAUAUUUGAAUUAAUUAAAUAAUCAAAUUUAACCCUAAUUCAAAUGCAUGCCUUAUCAGUAGCUAUGGACGAUUUCUAGAAGGUUUCUAACCCUUCUAAAAACCGCCCACCCCUAUGGGAUUCCAGAAUAUUCCAGUUGCUCGACAAUUAAACACUUAACAUCUAGUCCUUGUAUCUUUAAAUAAUUUCCUAAUUAAUUCCAUAUUAAUUCCAAGGUUGUAAAAGUUUAUAGGCAGUGAUCUGGUUAAGGGACUAAUCAGUUUAGGCCGACAUUAAUCGCACCUAGGAGGAUAGCCUUAAUUGUAAUGGAAUUCGUUUUAAAAUAAAUAAAUAUUACCUAUAUCCUAACAACAUAAGUAAAUAAACAUAAUAAAUUUGAUAUAUUGAAUCUUUUAACUAUUUAAAUCAUCAUAUAUCAUAAUUUUUAGACAAGUGGAUGUUCUUUUUCAUAAUUUUAUUCAUCAUUCAUUAUAAUUUAGUCACUAAUUAUCAAAAAUUUGACUAAUUGAGGAUUUUUUUUUUCUUUUUUUGAAAAAUUUGCCAUGGUGUAUUACUAGGUACUCUUCCAAUCAAAUACUUCACCAUUCGGUAAAAAGCUCGAAUUUUGAAUGCAAACGGAAUCGACUUUAUUAGUGUGGAACUUAGCAUCAAUGUAGCAUUUACAUUGAUCUCUUCCAUACUAAGAUCAUCUCCUUUGUCCUCAUAGGACACUAAGGAACGUACUUGAUUUUGAUUCAUUGAUUCUUGCCAACUUGAUCUAAUUCGACCUAUCAUGCUUGAGGCAUACAAAUCAUCGGGUCUAGUAUAUUAUAUGGCGUACAUGAUCGGUCCCUUAAGCAGAGGCAUGUGGGACACGACUCAUUUCUUCUAGCUCAAUAGUAGAGCUAGGACAUUAGCAAUGCUCAAUGUCAUGCCACACAUUAUGAACUAUUUCAAGUUUCUUCGAGAUUUCAUGUACUUUGGCUUAUCCUAAUGAAUUAAAUACAUUUAUCUCCAUUUAUAAACACAUUCAGUACGUGUGUUGUUUCUCUAAUGUCUCUCAAGGUGAAAGAAUUUCUCAAACAAGCAAAGUUUUUACACUUGCUAUGUUAAAACAUUGUUUCCUAUGAAUUGUAUAUUAUGCAAAUACAUUGCAAGGGUGACUAUAGUACUCCUACUAGCAUUGGUAUAUAUAUAUAUNNNNNNNNNNNNNNNNNNNNNNNNNNNNNUAUAUAUAUAUAUAUACAUAAUCUUCGUUUCUCAAAAUUCAAUCUCCUUGAACUUUCUCAUUGAAAAAGAGAUCCUAACUACUCCAACUGUCUUCGACAUACCUUAUGGCCCAUAUUCAUUUAUCGGAAUUCAAACUCCUUGAAUUUUGUCAUUAAUGUAAUGAUUCCGUCUUGCGAGAUGCUCAUUCACUUCAUAAGCUUACACAUUCUUCACAACCUAUCUUGGUUUUAAUAUAUGUUAGCUCCCAUCCAUGUCUGUUAUCUCCUUGAUGAUUCACUAACACUUACGGCUUUAAGUUGAAGUGUUUGAACAACCAAGUUUUCAAACGUCCAUAGACAGAAUCUCGCUCUACAUGUCCUCUUUCCUUAUUGCAACCUUAUAGGUCCUACCAUUGCUUACAAUAAUUAGCACAUUCUGGUUAUUGCCUUCCAGUGAAUCAUACUAACUUAGUAAUAUAAAUUAUUUACAUCUAGGUAUAUGAUGACCUCUAUCAAGUCUAUUAGGAAGAUUCGGAGGUAUGUCAGUUUCCUUAAUAGCUUUUUAGUCUCAAAUUGAAAGUUAUGACUGACUUUAGGUUUUUUGUUAGUUGACUCGAGAAUCAUUUCAAGAUCAAUAUGGCUCCCACUAGCCCUUUUGGAUAUCAGCUCUCUCUCUCUCUCUCUCUUGGAAGACUUCCCUUUAAGCAACAAACAUUUUUUUCUCAAAAAUGUUGGAAAGAGUAUCUAAGGUCAUUAACUGUUUGUAAUAUUUCUAAUAAUAACAAGGUCCUUUUGGGUUGCCCUGAAGACCCAAUUGAGUAGAAUAAGUAAAAGAAAAAAUAGUUUAUUAAUUAUUAUGGUUUAAAAAUCAAUUAGAAAAUAUUGGAAAAUAUUUUGGGAAUUCAUUAAACAGUUUAGUUAACUAAAGGUUUUAAUAUUCAUUAAUUAAUAGUUGUUUAAUCAGGAAUAUUGUAGAAUCCUUAUGGGAGUAAGGGGUGUACAAAAUAUCUCUUGGAUAAGAGAGAAUUACCAUCCCACAUGGGAUGAAGUACAAAAACCAAGAAAGAGAUCCAAGGCUAUAAAUAUGGCCUUAGGGAUUUCAUUCUUACUUGCACCUUGGCUUGAAAUUUUCACCACCCGUCUUCCUUUCUCUCUCUCUCUCUCCCUCUAUAUAUCUCUAGGGACGAUUUCUAACCCUCUUAGGGUUUGUGAAAUUGACUCUUCUCCUAGUUAUAUUCAUUCCACUAUUUGGUUUCAUUAGGUGUGAUACCAUUAGAGGGAUUAUGGUUUGGGUCCUCUCAUCCAAGCAACCUUGUGUAGGACAAGAUCUCAAGCAUGGAGGUUAAUUAUGUUGGGUUUUGAGCAUUCUAACACUCAUAUGGUGUACAUGAAACCCUAUAAACCUUGGAUCUAUGUUUUCUCUAUUAUACAUGCCAAUAAGAACUUUCCAAGGCUUUAAUCCUAACUAGCAUAAUAUGAGGCAACUAUACUACAAAGACUAGUUAGAUGACAUACCUUAUGAUGUAGCUUGAUGUCUUCAAGCUUUAAGAGCUUAGCCCCAAUAGUGUGGAAGCCUCAAGUGGAAUCACAAAUCACCAACACACCUUGGAAUAACCUUGAGAAUAAGGAUACUUUGGUUCUCUCUAAUGAAAUCGGCAAGCCCUCUUAGUGAACCCACACUAGUGCCAUUUCACCAACCAAGGACAUCUUUAUAUAGUGUGGAGACUAGGGUUAAACCCAUGACCUUUCAUUUCAUAUGAUCCAUGGGUUAAACACUCCAUGGACUAUCCAUGAAAGCUUAGCCCAACCUAAAUGAACUUGGCCCAUUCCAUAUAUAUAAGAGUCCAUAUUUAAUUAGUUCAUUUUGAUCACUUAAUUAAUUCUAAAUUAAUUCUUGAUCAAUACUAAUUAAAUAAUAUGAUUCCAUAUUAAUAUAUUAGAACUUAUAAUAUAUUAAUAUAAUUAUAAAUAUACUAUUCUCAAAAGAUUAUCCAUAUAAAUUGUGUCGGUGAAGUGCAACCCAAAUGGACCAUGCCGGGUCGGGUCAAGUACAUACCAAAUAUAGUUAUGGACUUAGACAUUAAUCCAACAGUCUCCCACUUGGAUAAGUCUAAAACUAUUAUUGCGUAUGACUUCAAACCUAACUGGCAAUCGUAGCUCUUAAAGCUGCUGUCGAACUCUGAUCUUGUCAACGAACUUGUCCAUUAGAUAAGGGAUCAUAUAUUCCUCCAUUCUAGAUAUCAUAUGGACUGAGACAUGGAUUAUAAUCAUUCUCUCUGUCCAUUUGUUGUUUCCCGAUUUCCGAUUUAUGACGACUGACUAAUUGAACAAAUCAAAUCAGUCCUGGCCCGGCCGAGCACUUCCAUUUGUCAUCAUCAAAUCAUCGAGGGGCCCACAGAUAUCGCUUUUAUCCCGAAGGUAAAAGGAACGGAUAAACUUCGACUCAUAUGGCUUGUUCUACUACUUGUUGAAUCAUACACAAAGGCACGUUUUAUAGCACCGAGUUACCCAAUGCGUUUUCGUGCAAUCAAUGUACUAUCAACUCAUAGUAACAACUCAUAUCUCUAGGUUUGAAGAAUAUAAGAUAUUAUCGUCUCAUGAUCACUCGUGAUAAAAUCCAUGAAGUGAUUCAAAUGAGCGCGGGUUGAAUCCAAUACUCAGAACUUAUGAGCACUCGUGAGUGUUGUAACACAAUUUUGUCCACCAACUUGGACCUCUACAAGCCAACCCAUGACAGUCUUGAUUCAUAUCUACUUCCAACAUAUGACCGACUGUGAAUGGUUUGAAUAACUUAGUCAUUCCGAAAGAAUAACCUAGUUAUUAUGGAAGUCCAAACAUGAUAAGGGAAACACAAGAAUAAAUGAAUCUAAUAUGGCAUCAAAACCUAUGAAUAUAACUAAAACACUUUCUAUUUAUCACCAUACUGAUUACUCAUUAUUCAUUGUUUCGGUUUUAUCAACUUUAUACUUGAAUUAAUACACUAGGUGUCCCAUGUUCCAAGCAUGUACACUAUGUUUUCUAAAGAAUAGCUUUGCCAUACACCAAGUAUGAACUCUAUGUUUGUCUAUGAUCCUUACUCUAUGAAAUAGAUGAAUUGAACAUAAUUUCAAUGAUUCUUAUUCCACACUCACAGAUCCUUAUUGUAAAUGUAAGAAUUCCAAAUCCCUAUCACUUAUCGAAAUGUGUUUAGAUUUUAAACUUAUAUGCAUAGACCCUCUUGUAAUGAAUAUGAACAAAGUCACAAAGACUUGUCAACAGUCAUUACAGGGUAUUUCAAUGAAGAUCAACUUCACGGAAAUUAAGUCUCAUAUUCAAGGUACAUUGCUUUGAACAUGCUUUUUUCGUUAAGGUUUUCUAAUCUUACACAGAUUUAUUGACCAACUUCCACCUUCCCAUAUUCCCAUUUUGACUAUCACUUCUGAAUAAGAGUUGCCUCUUUUCAGACUAUGUCAAUAUGGUCCUUCCAAUAUUAACAGUAUAAUUCCAACUGUCCUUGAGCAACCAAUCUUUGGUAAACUAAGAUUGUCUUCGACAAUUGCUUAAUCAGUUUAGUCAUAUCAAAUUCUAGUCAUUUUCCUCUUUAAUGCCCCAAUGCAUUUGGAAAAUUCAGAAAGGAUAAAUAUUAUAGCACAUGUAAUCGAUCUUGUACCCAAAGUAAAUGGGACACGAUUCAUGAUGUUUCACAUAAAGACAUGGUUCUAGACCAGUCUUUUGCCAUAAUAAUUUUUAUUUGCCAUAUUCUUAAAAUUUGACUAUGAAAAGGGAUGUCGUAAUCAUAAUCGAAUUUUGAGAACGCAAUAUAUAGAAUUUCGUUAAGUUGAGCCAAUCCAACAUGAAAUUCAUAUAUAUAUANCUGAAUUAUAGCAAAACAACUUUUUCAACCCUUGCAACCUCACGAGUUGAACUUUUGUUUUCUAUAAUUAACAUUGCUAACUUGCAAUACUUAUUAUAAUUAUCAUGCUCCCACUAACAUGAUGAUUAUUAGCAUAACACUUAUGCUCCCACUAGCUUUGACAUGUACUCAGAAAUCAGCUGGACUUCUAGAAAUCAAUACUUUAUUGACAUUCUUACCGAAGUUCAGAUUUCUGAUACUAGAUUGCUUUGAUAAGACUUUAUCAAAAUCAUACACCUUAUCUUAGAUAGCUCACAAGUGUGUCUGAACAAUUUCAGAACUAUGAAAAGGGAUGCCGUAAUCAUAGUCUCAAUUGUUUAGACCUUUUGCCAAUUCUCAUAAGUCAAUGUUAGUGUGCCAGUUAACCACGCACGUUCCACUAACGAGUUUGAGAACUGCAAAUAUCACAAUUGCUAUCUACUUAGUGAAAGAAUUUCCUCACCAUCAUUUUCAUGAAUCGGAGAGAAACCUUAUGACACUUAGAUUUUAUGGUGCAUGUGUUCUUAUCCAUGUGAAUUGUCAAAACCAUAGUCACAAGACAAGGAUAAUGACAAAUCCAAACUCAUAUGGAUUGAACUCAAUCUUAAUUUCUUGCCACCUGGCAGCUCAAGGGCCUGUCAUUACUUCCAAGUCAUUAUGCAACCAAUUGAGAACUCUAAGAACUCAUAUGCAAAGCCAACUUUAACUAGAAUGGGCACAGAAUAUGUCAACACGAUAGGUUAUAAACCUCAAGUUGUGUGCUAGUGAUGAAAUACAUGAUUACUUCUUGAAACCCUUUUAGGAACUUUUCGACUCCCCCUGUCUCCUUGACCGAUAAGACUUUCUUGCCAAAUAUUCAAGAGAUAGUGUGGAUUCUAAUCAAGACAGACACUUAACACAAUUAGCCCUAGUUGGUCUUUGUUUUAUCCAAAACAUCACAACUUACCAAUUUCAAAUGUACAAGAGUAGAAAACUUUUACUCUUACAUUUGACAAGUGUUUUAAACCUUCUUUAAGAUAUGCCACUAAAGUUACAAUCUUAGAGCAUAACUCUACGAAUUGUUUUGGAAUGAAGUAUGAAUCAUCUUCUUGAUUUAACCACUUCAACAAUUCAUAACUCCUCUUCUUAACUAUCAUAAUGCACUUAGAGGAUGAAUUGUGAUAAGGUCUCAAAAUCAUUAAGAUGAUCUUAAAACCUGAUACUAAAGUACUCUCCCAUCUUUUCAGAUUUGAGAAACUUUUAUCCUUCUGCCUAAUUUGAUUCUUCUUAUUCAUUCUGUCAUACAUUGAAAUUAUUUCAAUGUUUCAGAAUUAUACUUAAGCUUGUAAGUACAAUCAUAUUUACUAAACCUUAGUAAAUCAUGAUGAAUAGUCUUAUCCAUCUUUUGUGGUGGACUCUGACAAGUGCACAAGAAAGUGUACUUGAUCCCUUAGUCCUUCUCUUGAGUCACAUAUAUAUGUGAACACGGAACUAGUCUUAAUUUUCCAAAGUUGAAAAAUUCUUACACAUCACACUCAACACCUUGUAUGAUUCCAAGUUUCGGUCCAAUUGAAACUUGGGUGAUGAGAAUAUUUCCUUAUUUGGUAAAUUUAGACAUUACCACAAAUGAAAGAAUCAAAUUCAUAUUUCCAAUAUUGCUAUAAACAUACAAACAUCAAGUUUUCAUGAAUGUCAUUGUAAGGAGAUAAAAAUAAAGUAAAACAAACUUUUAUUUAUUUUAAAAUGCGGAAAAACUUUUUCUUUACAAUGAAACUUGAAAUGAAAACUAUGUUAUUACAUGUUUCCUAGAAAUAUAUCAUAACUCCUAAGAAGUAGCUCAAGAAUCUGAUCUUCACGGUCAAAUUCAGCAUACUCUUUUUUUAAGUUUCCUUCAUUUUUCCUUUGAUUCUUAAAACAUCAACAUGUGACCCAGUCACAUCAUGUAAUAAGAAUCUCAUAAUAGAAACUUAAUAGAGUUUGAUAGUGAACUUUUGUAAGGUCGAACAUUAUAAUAUGAUGAUGUUUGAGACUGAUCACUAAGCGUCAGCGUCAGCGUAUUAAUUGUUCAGUGUAUAGUUUCAUAUUCAGCAUUUUGUAACAGAUUUUGUACUUAUCUAGUUUCCAUAGUUUUCGUCUAUUAGUUAGUUGGUAUAUCCCUGAUUUGUAGGGAUUGCCUAGAUUAGUUCUAUAUAGUCUUUUGUACAAGUUUGUGAAAGGGGCAUCUUUCACAAACCCUAAUAGCCGCUUUGUGCAUUCGAUAAUCUCUUUGUGAGAUUAUCAUUCUUAGUGAAAGUUUAUCUUCGUGAAUCCUCGUUGUUCUUGUUUAUAGUCAUUGUUUGAUAAUUUGUUUGAUCUUAGGAACUUUCAAUUGGUAUCAGAGCAGUGUUCUCUUAUCAAACAAAUGGCUUCAUCGUCUUCUUCUUUAAACUCAUCAAAUCAUUCUUCUGCUAAAAUUCCUCCAUUUGAUGAAACCAAUUUCGCUAUGUGGAAAAUCAAAGCUCUCUAUGAAUUGGAAUCUGUAGAUGAAGACAUGUUGGACAUCGUCAAUGAUGGUCCAUAUGUUCCGAUGUAUCGGCCCUUGAAAAACAAUGUUCCUAAUGGUGACAUGAAGAAAACACCUAGGGAGAACUAGACAAUAGAUGACAAAAGAAAUAAUGGUCUAGAUGUACGUGCUCGGGCUGCAAUCAGCUAUGCUUUGCCAUAUAAUAUCUUUGGGUUGGUUCCAGGGGCGAGUCUAUGUGUAUUGAAGGUGGGUCACUUGACCCACCUAAUUUUCUUUUCCUUAUAAGAGUUCAUUGAUAAAUAUAAAUUGUGACCUAUCUUAAAUAUUUAAAGUGAACUACCUUAAAUCAAUUUUAUGUUUUUGAAAAAAAAAAAAGGUAUAAAUCAAGAUUCUUAAAGACCACAUUUUAUAUUUUAUGACCAAAUAUUCAAUUCAUUUAAGAUAUAAUCCAAUAAAAAUAGUUCAAAAUAAGUUAAACAUAGAUAAAAGAAAAAAGGCAAAACAAAGAGGUGUUUUUACCACGUCGUUUCUUCUCCCGCUUUAUACGGGAUAGACAUAUGACUAUAUAUAUAUAUAUAUAUAUAUAUAUAUAUAUAUAUAUAUAUAUAUAUANNNNNNNNNNNNNNNNNNNNNNNNNNNNNNNNNNNNNNNNNNNNNNNNNNNNNNNNNNNNNNNNNNNNNNNNNNNNNNNNNNNNNNNNNNNNNNNNNNNNNNNNNNNNNNNNNNNNNNNNNNNNNNNNNNNNUAUAUAUAUAUAUAUUAAUUUUCUAUUGAACCCACUUAGUGAACCACGUGAUUUUACUUUCUAGACUCGCCACUGGUUGGUUCAGAACUGCAUCUCAGCAAAAGAAAUGAUGGACACGCUGACUGUGUCUUUUGAAGGCACUGAGGAAGUCAAGGCUACUCAGAUAAAUGAUCUAAACAGAAGGUAUGAACAUUUCUUUGCAAAGAAAGGUGAAACCCUGACUCAAACCUUCAACAGGUUUAAUACUCUUGUUAAUGAUCUGCGGAGACUAGAUCAGUUGAAGCAUCGAACUGUUCUAGUGUAGAAGUUUUUGGAUUCUCUGGGUGCAGGUUGGGAGAAUCAUGUUGAUGUGCUGAAAAAUAGUGAGAAGAUCAGCACAAUGGAUUUACAUAGUCUUUAUGGAAACCUUCGAUACUAUGAGGAAUCCAAGCUCCAGAGAAAGGAGCUGAUGAAGGAUGCUCAGCGUGAGUCAUCUGUGGCAUUAUUUUCAAACAAAAAGCAAGUGUUAGAGUCAGACACUGAAAACCAUUCAGACACUGAUUCUUCUAAAAGUGAGACUGAUGAUAUGGAAAAGGUAGUUGCUAGUGCUGCUUUCAUUGUGAAGACUUUUGAGAAAUCAGGCCGUAAUUUCUCAAAGUUUCAGAAGAGGAUGGAUGGGAAAUCUUCUAAAAGGUUAGAUGCCGACAAGAAACAUGUAACCGAAAAGAAAGGCAAAGCUCAGUGCUUUAACUGUGGUAGCAUUGAUCAUUUUGCAAAAGAAUGCAAGCAAAGAAGAACCCAAAGCUCGGAGGAAUACUGGAAGCAGAAGUACAACAAGUUGGUUGAGAAGCUGAAAGCAGAGAACUUGGAACAUAAAGUUCUUGUCGCUGAAGAAGAAAAAUGGAAGACUGAUGAGGAGUCAUCAGAUGAUGAAGUUAAAUGUCUGAUGGCUAAGAUAGAAGAUGCUGAUGAACGUGAAGUCAGCAACAGUUCGUUUGAUGCUGAUAUGUCUGAUGCAGUUGAAAACUCUAGGAAGCACAACAUAGAUUCCCCUUCAAUGUAUCAGGUUCAAAUUUUUGUUUCCUAUUCAAUGAAUGAAAAAAUCAAAAUGUUUGAGUAUUUGGGUGUUCUUAAUUCUAAGAAGAAUCAAAUCAUAAGGGAUAUGCAGAAUCAAAUUGAUCUUCUUAAAACUGAACUAUCCUUGAAAAAUAACAUUAUUGACACUACUCAGGAAAAUCUAAGUGUUACUAGUUUAUCAAAUUCCUCGAUGUCUACUGAAAUUGAUAAAGUUAAAGACCUCUUGAACAAAGAACAAACUGUGCUACAACUUUGGGCUAAAUCUCACAAAAAUGCUAAUUAUGUCAUUUCUGCUCAAAUACCUCAUUCAUGUCAGAAAAUUCUUGGGGGAAAUUUUGCUGAAGCUGAAAAAGUUUUUAAAUCUCAUGAAAAAAAAUCUAAAUUUUAUUCCAUGAAUGAAUUACAAUAUAGUUUCAAAAACAAGUUUAUCAGCAACACUUUUGUUAAUCAGAGUCUCAUUGAUGAAUACUGUGUUACUGAUUCUAAUGGUGUUACUAAGUGUGAUAUUGAAAUUAUCGGAAUUGAUCCUACUUCUUACCCUGCACAUCUUGAGAGACCAACUCCUCUCACUGAAAAUAUUAUCGCAUUUCCUAUCUCAAAUGGAUUGUUUCAUGCUGUUCUUGAACAACUUAAGCAUUAUCCUGAUUGCAGUGUUUCAGUGCAUAAGUCUAAAUCUGAUACUGAUGUCAGCUCCUCAUCCAUCACUGAUCAUAGUUCUUCUGACACUGAAUUCAGUUGUAAUUCAAUGUCAAACAAAAGGACUCAAAGUUCACUUGGUGGAUCUUACAAAUCCAAAUGUGUUAAAUCUAGAAAUCUGCUCACCAAGAAAAACUUUGGUACUAGAGUUUGUUACAGAUGUGGUGACACCUCUCACAAGAUAAGUGAAUGCAAGUUUGAUAAAACAUCUUUAAGAGCUAACAACAUUAAAGUUAGAAAUGAAAGAUGGACUCUUAAAUCAAAUUCUUUGAACUGUCUUCCUAAAGAGUGCUAUAAUAUAUUGUCAAAUAACUUUGUGAAUGACCCAUUUUACAAUGGGUCAGUGUGUUCUAACUAGUUUCUCAGCACUGCAGGGUCAAGAGCGUAUUUGGUACUUAGACAGUGGUUGCUCAAGACAUAUGACAGGAUCCAAGUCUCUCCUGGAAGACUAUGUCAAGAAAACUGGUCCUGUAGUAACAUAUAGAGACAAUGGAAAGGGGUUUACUAAAGGAUAUGGGAACAUCAAGUGCAAUAAUGUGGUGUUUCAGAAUGUUUCAUAUGUAAAGGGUCUCAAACACAAUCUUAUCUCAAUCAGCCAAUUGUGUGAUGCUGAUUAUGAAGUUCAUUUUACAAAGAAGGAAGGAAGAGUCAUCAACACUGACAAGAACAUUGCACUCUCAGCAAGUAGAAAAGAUGAUAUAUAUGUUCUUGACAUGUUCUCAAGUGACAAGGCACUGAUGCAAUGUUUCUUUACCAAGUCUCAAACCAAUCUCAGCUGGAUUUGGCAAAAAAAGGUUCUCUCAUUUGAACUUUAAGAAUCUAUCUAAAAUAUCCAAUCAAGAUCUAGUUAGAGGUCUCCCAAAAUUCAGCUUUGUCAAAGACAAGAUGUGCUCAGCGUGUGAACAAGGAAAGCAAACCAAGUCAUCAUUCAAACCCAAUUCAUGUUCUAGCAUAUAUGUUCCUCUUUAUUUACUACACAUGGACUUGUUUGGACCUAUUCCUGUUCGUUCCCAAGGAGGAAACAAGUAUAAGCUGGUGGUUGUGGAUGAGUUUACUCGAUUUACAUGGGUGGUUUUCUUGAAGAAGAAAGGUCAAGCUGUACAGGAAAUUAUCUCACUGAUUCGACAAAACGAGACGCUGACUGGUCUCAAAGUUAAGCAGCUAAGGAGUGAUCAUGGCACUGAGUUCCGGAAUUCGACUCUUGAAUACUUUUGUGAUUUUAAAGGUAUUGGGUAGAACUUUUCAGCUCCUCGCAUGCCUCAACAAAAUGGAGUUGCUGAACGAAGAAAUCGAACACUGAUUGAGGCAGGAAGGACCUUAAUGAUUCAUGCUGGGCUUCCUAUGUCGUUUUGGGCUGAAGCUGUUAAUACAGCAUGUUAUACUCAGAAUCGCUCUCUAAUUCACAGGGUUCACAAGAAGACACCAUAUGAGAUGCUGAAAGGUCAAAAGCCGGACGUAUCCUUCUUUCAUGUGUUUGGAUGCAUUUGUUAUAUUCUUAAUCAGUGCGACCCCAGAUCAAAAUUUGAGCCUAAGACUGACAAAGGUAUUUUUGUUGGAUAUUCAUCUAUUUCAAAGGCUUUUCGUAUUUUUCAUGUGAACAUGCAAUGCAUUGAGGAAUCCAUUCAUGUAAAGUUUGAUGAAGAACCCUACACUGAUGAAAAAGUAGCUCAUUCCCCUUCUAUUUUUCAAGAGCUUCUCUCCUGUCCAUCUGAUGAAGUCUCACAUACUGAAGAAGAAGUUGUCAUUCCUGAUCCUAUCGUUCCAGGCCCAAGUCCUGUCAAUCAAGGCACUGCGGUCAGCACGGCAACUCUUUUGUCAGAUGCUGAUGAAACCCUUGAAUCUGAAGAAUCUCAUGUAAUUGAUGUUCCUUUCAUUGAUAACUCUUCAGCGUCAAACUCAUUGGAAUCAGCUCCAAAACAUCGAGAUCACCCUUUUGAUCAAAUUAUUGGGAAUCUUCAUGAUGGUGUCCAAACCAGAUCUCGUGUAUCUAAUAAUUUUUGCAUGUAUGUUAACUUUGUUUCAAUGAUCUUACCUGACAAGAUACACUCAGCACUUCAACACGCUGACUGGAUUAAAGCCAUGCAAGACGAGCUGAAUGAGUUCAAAAGGCACAAGGUUUGGACUCUUGUUCCCAGACCAUCAGGAAAGACCAUCACAGGAACACGCUGGGUCUAUCGAAACAAGGUUGAUAAAGAUGGUGUUAUUACUCACAACAAAGCAAGACUUGUUGCUCAGGGUUCACUCAAAUUGAAUCUAUUGAUUACGGGGAGACUUUUGCUCCAGUUGCCCACAUUGAAGCAAUCAGACUGUUCCUUGCAUAUGCUUCAUACAUGAACUUCAUUGUCUACCAGAUGGAUGUCAAAACAGCAUUUCUUCAUGGUGUGUUAGAAGAAGAAGUCUUUCUCAAACAGCCCCCAGGUUUUGAAGACAAAGAGCACCCUGACUAUGUGUACAGACUAGAUAAAGUUGUAUAUGGACUGAAGCAAGCUCCCAGGGCCUGGUAUGAGACGCUGACAUCAUAUCUCCUUGAAAAUGGCUACAGAAGAGGAGCAAUUGAUAAUACACUCUUCAUCGUAAACAAAGGCUCGGACAUGAUUCUUGUUCAAAUCUAUGUCGAUGAUAUCAUCUUUGGCUCUCCAAAUGAGAAGCUGAGCAAGGAAUUCGCUGAGAUCAUGUCUCAAAGGUUCGAGAUGAGCAUGAUGGGGAAGAUGACCUUUUUUCUUAGGUCUUGAGGUUCAGCAACAAAAAUCAGGCAUCUCAAUUUGUCAAAGUAAAUAUAUUGCUGACAUGCUUGUUAAGUACUUUCUCAGCGACCGCAAACCGGCCUCUACUCCGGUGUCCAAGACUGAUAAGCUACACGUUGAUCCCACUGGCACUGAUGUUAAUCAUUCUCUUUAUCGAGGAAUGAUUGGAUCUCUUCUUUACCUCACUGCAAGUCGCCCUGAUAUCAUGUUUGGAACCAUUCUCUGUGCUAGAUUCCAAGCUAAUCCCAAGGAGUCUCAUCUCAUUACAGUUAAACGCAUUUUUCGAUACUUAAAGGGCGCUCAGAACUUGGCAUUGUGGUACCCUCGUGACUCAGCACUUCAGGUGGAUGUCAUUUCCUUGGAAAUCGACUAAUCAGCUGGUCUAGCAAGAAGCAAACCUCAAUAGCUAUCUCCACUGCAGAAGCUGAGUAUGUUGCAACUGGGAGAUGUUGUGCUCAACUCUUAUGGAUUCAGAAUUAGCUUUUAGACUAUGGGAUUAAAGUCACAAAGACUCCUAUAUACUGUGAUAACACCAGUGCCAUUCAGAUCACACAGAAUCCUGUUCAGCACUCAAAGACAAAGCAUAUCGAGAUCAGACAUCACUUCAUCAGAGACAAUGUUGAGAAGGGCAAGGUUGUUCUAGAACAUGUCAAGACUUCAGAUCAACUAGCUGAUAUUUUCACCAAGGCCCUGGAUACUCAAACUACUGCUCACAUUAUUGGAGAACUUGGAAUGAUCACUCUGGAUUAAAAAAAUGUUUUACUAAUGUUUGCUAUUGUCUUAUAAACUGAUGUAUUUUUUUUGCUGAUGAUGAUGUGCUGAUGAUGUUUACCAUGCUGAGUACCUUGUAUGAUCUCUUAUCUCUAUCUCUUCUACAAAUCUUCUAAACUAAAGUUGAAUGAUUCACUUUAUUAAACCAUACACAGAUAACAACUUGAAACUCUUUGCCGAUGGUUAGACAAAACACCAAGAUCUAUCACACGCAACUAUCCCUUCUUACCAAUCUUACACUGAUUCUGUGAUUCUGUGUGACAAAACACAUGCUGAUGAGAGUCUAACAGUCUUUGCCAAUGGUUAGACCAAAACACCAAGGUCUAUCACACGCAACAAUCCUCUCUUCACCUUCUUCUCACUCAGUGUCUAAUGAUUCAGUAAGAAGCACCACUCACUGAUAAAGACUCAACACUCUGUGUCGAUGGUUAGAUAAUUAAACCAGUAUCUAUCACAUGCACCAACCACCUUGCUAACCUUAAACAAGCAAGUUGUACCUUGAAUUGACGACAUAUUAUCUUUCAGCAUGUAACUUUUAGUGACACUGAUCUCAGCGCUUCCGCAGACACUGAUUGUCGUUUCCUCUUCAAUACAACGGCUUGUUUUACCCAACGGCUAUUUUUUCGGAUUUGACAGUUUGUUAAGAUACGUAGUUAUUUUCAAAAAAGAUAAUCAUUACCUUUUUAAAACCGUUUAAUCCCAUAUUUAAACCUUAUUCCCCACCUCUCUCCCAAACUUUCCUCCCACAAUUCAAAUUUCCUUCUCUUUUCUUCAAAACCCUAGAAUCCAAACUCUCUUCAAUGGCGGCAUCACUGUUUACUUUCUCCUCCACCUCAAGAAGAGUCAUCCCAGCUCCAAACUCUCCUCCUCUUCCCAUACACAUCAAAGCCACAAAUGUCGUCUUCAACCCUGAUAUACCAGAUGUUCAUCGCGGUCUUGGACUUGAUGAUUUUGUCAAUUUUCUAGUAUCUUGCAGACUUUGAUAUGCUAUCAGUAAGGCUCCAUCAGAGUUCUUUCCCGAACAAGUAUGUGAGUUCUACUACACCGCAACAGUCAAUAACGAAAACAACAUCAUCUCCGACACUAUUGGGCGUGGCCGUCGCUCAGUUUUCAUCAACGCUGAUCUCCUCCAUACUGCACUCAGGUUACCAAUUUUUGAACCAUUCUCUAAGCUUCCAACUAUUGAACGCUGUCGACACCUCUUUGACCAACUGGGCUAUGAUCACUCCAAGGCUUGUGCUCGACCAGCUCUCAUUCUACGUCAAUGUAUGACUCUUGGAUGGAAGUUCUUCACCGGGGCACUUUGUAAGUGUAUAGGCCACAAAUCUCGCCGUGGUGAUCAACUGAGUGCUUUUGAGCAACAAGUGGUAUGUUCACUUCUCCUCAACAAACGUGUUGAUUAUGGGGCUUUCUUCUUCGAUCAGCUUGUCCAACUUCUUCGAGCCAAUGUAUGAGUUGAUCAUGUUCCGUUUCCAUGCUGGAUUGCUCUUGUCCUGGAUAAAUUUUAUGCUGAAGCCUAUUACUCACACGCUGGAAACCCCAUCCAAUGCCCACGCAUGUCAGUAUGAAUGUAUCAGGAUGAUCCACUGGCCAAUGACAUCGGCAUCUCUGAUCGGAUGCGAGAAUGGAUCGCGAAUCCAUAUACCGUUCCUUCACUAAAUGCUGACACUGACGAAGGAGCUGCUGAUAACGACGAAACUAAUGCUGAAAUACAAGUUGAUCCUAGCCAAGAAGGUGGUCAUAUCUCCCCUCAACUUUCUCACCAUACCAUUUCUGCCACUGAAAGGGUUCAUUCAGCUCAUGGGGAGUCAUCUGCUCAGGGGGAGCAACCAUCUCAGGGAGAGCAACCAUCUCAAGGGGAACAACCUUUUCAGGGGGAGCAGCAUCAAUCACAAGAAAUUCCAGGUACUCAGCUCAUUCAAAUUCCGGCCUCAGUGUUUAAUGAGCUUCUUACACUGACUCGAGAUAUGAGUUAGGGUCUUCUAUGUAUUGAGGCUGAUGUCAACCAACUGAAGGGAGUUCUUCUGUCAACUCCUUCCCCUGGCCCAAGUGAUGAUGAUGAUCAAAAAAGAGGAGAAAAUGAUUCUGUUGAUAGAACCUGUGAGCAUGGAUCUGGGGGGAACAUUGUUAAACAGACCGAGCCACCACAACCUGCGCACGAGUCUGAGAGACUUGCAGAAACUGAAAAGCCUACUGAAGAUAGUGAACAUGAUGAUGAAGAUGAACAUGAUGAUGAGUGUCAGAUGCUGGACAUGAACUUCAUGGAUCCCACUGUGUCAGUUCAAGGUGAAGACUCAGAUGUAGUUAGUGAGGAUCUUGUUCCUUUGUCUCGAAAGCGAAAGGCAGCAGAUACUGAAUCAUCUGAUUCACAUGCUGACACUUCUCCUCCUAGCAAGAAACAUAAGUCCAUUGUCAGCAUAUCAAAUCUGGCAGCUGAAUGGAAUAUGACCCCUGAUCAAGUUAAGCAAAUCCUUGACGAAGCCAAUAAAGCUCAGCUUCUAAAGAGUAUUGCUCAAGCUGAUGAAUCCCUCAUUCAGCACAAACUUCAGGCAAUAGGAUCCUUUGAAGCUCAAAUGCAAAGGUUUCUAGAAUAUCAGUCCAAAACUAAAUCUUCACAGCCUCCUUCCAGUAGCAGUAAGUCAAGGACUGAUAGUGCUCUUGACAGGAUCGAUCGCAAAAGGUUUCAAGAUGUUUUCAAACGAAGAGUAAGCAAUGACGAGAUCAUCAAAGUUAAAACCUCAAAACCUCGUGACGAGAAAAUUCUUACUUUGCUGAUCACUCGUCAAGGUCCUCAACAUCCGUACACUGAAGUUAUAAAGAGAGACGAGAUGAUUAGAUACGGAUACUCUGAAUGGAUGGAAUUGCUCGAGUUGGCAUCCAAGCAAACUUCAGCUCUUUCUUCAGAACUGACCUGUGCUCUUCACUUACUGAUCAAGAAAGUUGAGCGUCUUGAUCUUGUUCCUAAAGAGCGUCCUCAGCAGCAAGGCCCAAGUUCCUCAGUUCCAAGAAUCAGAAGAACUAGAUUUCAAGUUGAUGGUUAAGAUGUAUUGGUUCUAAAUUUUGGUGCUGAAGAAAUAAACAACUCUCUUCCUAUUGGUGUUGAGCCGGUUCAACAUCAGUUCAUCUCUGUUCCUGAACAUGGAAUGUUUUAUCUUGAUAAGAACAGGAAAAUGUGUUUUCAGCGUACUACAAAGAUUCCAAGGGCUCCAACAGAACAUCUUGUUGGUUUAAGAAAAAUGUGCAUGAGUCAUCGAGAUCUCUCUGGAGAGUUUCAUAUACUGAUUGCUAUGGAGUUACUGAAUAGAAGAUAGGAGCUGCUAGAUAGUCCUUACUGGCCAGUGAAAGUAGAAGCUGAAGCUGAGUAUGAAGAAUUUUUGUCCAGGGGUGUUCAAGUCUAGCUGGUUUUGAACAUCAUCAUAUUGGGGGAGAUUGUAAGGUCGAACCUUAUAAUAUGAUGAUGUUUGAGACUGAUCACUCAGCGUCAGCGUCAGCGUAUUAAUUGUUCAGUGUAUAGUUUCAUAUUCAACAUUUUGUAACAGAUUUUGUACUUAUCUAGUUUCCAUAGUUUUCGUCUAUUAGUUAGUUGGUAUAUCCCUGAUUUUUAGGGAUUGCUUAGAUUAGUUCUAUAUAGUCUUUUGUACAAGUUUGUGAAAGGGGCAUCUUUCACAAACCCUAAUAGCCGCUUUGUGCAUUCGAUAAUCUCUUUGUGAGAUUAUCAUUCUUAGUGAAAGUUUAUCUUCGUGAAUCCUCGUUGUUCUUGUUUAUAGUCAUUGCUUGAUAAUUUGUUUGAUCUUAGGAACUUUCAACUUUACCCGAUGUAGAGUCAAACUUAUUGACUUUACCAACUUUAUGAUCUUUCAGGUAAAUUUGGCAGCUUCGCAACCAAUGUCUUUUCCGUUUUGGCAAUAGAACCAUAUGGAUCCUUUGGGAAUGGUAAAUGGGAUAAUCUCAGACUUAGCCUUUCUCUUUACCAUUUGGUCAACCGAGUUGACUAUGGCCGAUCCCUUUCCAUUGGGAAGAGAAUGCUUUUUCUGGAUUUACAGUUUCACCAUUUUCAAUGUCCAUUAAGUUUUGGGAAGUCGAUCUUGUAAUCAAAUUUGCUUUACUAGCCUUUCAAAUCAUUGUUGAUUCAGUAGCACCAAGCAAAUAGAUAAGAUCNNNNNNNNNNNNNNNNNNNNNNNNNNNNNNNNNNNNNNNNNNNNNNNNNNNNNNNNNNNNNNNNNNNNNNNNNNNNNNNNNNNNNNNNNNNNNNNNNNNNACCAACUGAAGGGAGUUCUUCUGUCAACUCCUUCCCCUGGCCCAAGUGAUGAUGAUGAUCAAAAAAGAGGAGAAAAUGAUUCUGUUGAUAGAACCUGUGAGCAUGGAUCUGGGGGGAACAUUGUUAAACAGACCGAGCCACCACAACCUGCGCACGAGUCUGAGAGACUUGCAGAAACUGAAAAGCCUACUGAAGAUAGUGAACAUGAUGAUGAAGAUGAACAUGAUGAUGAGUGUCAGAUGCUGGACAUGAACUUCAUGGAUCCCACUGUGUCAGUUCAAGGUGAAGACUCAGAUGUAGUUAGUGAGGAUCUUGUUCCUUUGUCUCGAAAGCGAAAGGCAGCAGAUACUGAAUCAUCUGAUUCACAUGCUGACACUUCUCCUCCUAGCAAGAAACAUAAGUCCAUUGUCAGCAUAUCAAAUCUGGCAGCUGAAUGGAAUAUGACCCCUGAUCAAGUUAAGCAAAUCCUUGACGAAGCCAAUAAAGCUCAGCUUCUAAAGAGUAUUGCUCAAGCUGAUGAAUCCCUCAUUCAGCACAAACUUCAGGCAAUAGGAUCCUUUGAAGCUCAAAUGCAAAGGUUUCUAGAAUAUCAGUCCAAAACUAAAUCUUCACAGCCUCCUUCCAGUAGCAGUAAGUCAAGGACUGAUAGUGCUCUUGACAGGAUCGAUCGCAAAAGGUUUCAAGAUGUUUUCAAACGAAGAGUAAGCAAUGACGAGAUCAUCAAAGUUAAAACCUCAAAACCUCGUGACGAGAAAAUUCUUACUUUGCUGAUCACUCGUCAAGGUCCUCAACAUCCGUACACUGAAGUUAUAAAGAGAGACGAGAUGAUUAGAUACGGAUACUCUGAAUGGAUGGAAUUGCUCGAGUUGGCAUCCAAGCAAACUUCAGCUCUUUCUUCANUCUGAAUGGAUGGAAUUGCUCGAGUUGGCAUCCAAGCAAACUUCAGCUCUUUCUUCAGAACUGACCUGUGCUCUUCACUUACUGAUCAAGAAAGUUGAGCGUCUUGAUCUUGUUCCUAAAGAGCGUCCUCAGCAGCAAGGCCCAAGUUCCUCAGUUCCAAGAAUCAGAAGAACUAGAUUUCAAGUUGAUGGUUAAGAUGUAUUGGUUCUAAAUUUUGGUGCUGAAGAAAUAAACAACUCUCUUCCUAUUGGUGUUGAGCCGGUUCAACAUCAGUUCAUCUCUGUUCCUGAACAUGGAAUGUUUUAUCUUGAUAAGAACAGGAAAAUGUGUUUUCAGCGUACUACAAAGAUUCCAAGGGCUCCAACAGAACAUCUUGUUGGUUUAAGAAAAAUGUGCAUGAGUCAUCGAGAUCUCUCUGGAGAGUUUCAUAUACUGAUUGCUAUGGAGUUACUGAAUAGAAGAUAGGAGCUGCUAGAUAGUCCUUACUGGCCAGUGAAAGUAGAAGCUGAAGCUGAGUAUGAAGAAUUUUUGUCCACGGGUGUUCAAGUCUAGCUGGUUUUGAACAUCAUCAUAUUGGGGGAGAUUGUAAGGUCGAACCUUAUAAUAUGAUGAUGUUUGAGACUGAUCACUCAGCGUCAGCGUAUGACUCAGUGUCAGCGUCAGCGUCAGCGUCAGCGUAUUAAUUGUUAAGUGUAUAGUUUCAUAUUCAGCAUUUUGUAACAGAUUUUUUACUUAUCUAGUUUCCAUAGUUUUCGUCUAUUAGUUAGUUGGUAUAUCCCUGAUUUGUAGGGAUUGCCUAGAUUGGUUCUAUAUAGUCUUUUGUACAAGUUUGUGAAAGGUGCAUCUUUCACAAACCCUAAUAGCCGCUUUGUGCAUUCGAUAAGCUCUUUGUGAGAUUAUCAUUCUUAGUGAAAGUUUAUCUUCGUGAAUCCUCGUUGUUCUUGUUUAUAGUCAUUGUUUGAUAAUUUGUUUGAUCUUAGGAACUUUCAAUUGGUAUCAGAGCAGUGUUCUCUUAUCAAACAAAUGGCUUCAUCGUCUUCUUCUUUAAACUCAUCAAAUCAUUCUUCUGCUAAAAUUCCUCCAUUUGAUGAAACCAAUUUUGCUAUGUGGAAAAUCAAAGCUCUUUAUGCAUUGGAAUCUGUAGAUGAAGACAUGUUGGACAUCAUCAAUGAUGGUCCAUAUGUUCCGAUGUAUCAGCCCUUGAAAAACAAUGUUCCUGAUGGUGACAUGAAGAAAACACCUAGGGAGAACUGGACAAUAGAUGACAAAAGAAAGAAUGGUCUAGAUGUAUGUGCUCGGGCUGCAAUCAGCUAUGCUUUGCCGUAUAAUAUCUUUGGGCUGGUUCAGAACUGCAUCUCAGCAAAAGAAAUGAUGGACACGCUGACUGUGUCUUUUGAAGGCACUGAGGAAGUCAGGGCCACUCAGAUAAAUGAUCUAAACAGAAGGUAUGAACAUUUCUUUGCAAAGAAAGGUGAAACCCUGACUCAAACCUUCAACAAGUUUAAUACUCUUGUUAAUGAUCUGCGGAGACUAGAUCAGUUGAAGCAUCGAACUGUUCUAGUGCAGAAGUUUUUGGAUUCUUUGGGUGCAGGUUGGGAGAAUCAUGUUGGUGUGCUGAAAAAUAGUGAGAAGAUCAGCAUAAUGGAUUUACAAAGUCUUUAUGGAAACCAUCGAUACUAUGAGGAAUCCAAGCUCUAGAGAAAGGAGCUAAAGAAGGAUGCUCAGCAUGAGUCAUCAGUGGCAUUAUUUUCAAACAAAAAGCAAGUGUCAGAGUCAGACACUGAAAACCAUUCAGACACUGAUUCUUCUAAAAGUGAGACUGAUGAUAUGGAAAAGGUAGUUGCUAGUGUUGCUUUCAUUGUGAAGACUUUUGAGAAAUCAGGCCGUAAUUUCUCAAAGUUUCAGAAGAGGAUGGAUGGGAAAUCUUCUAAAAGGUUAGAUGCCGACAAGAAACAUGUUACCGAAAAGAAAGGAAAAGCUCAGUGCUUUAACUGUGGUAGCACUGAUCAUUUUGCAAAAGAAUGCAAGCAAAGAAGAACCCAAAGCUCGGAGGAAUACUGGAAGCAGAAGUACAACAAGUUGGUUAAGAAGCUGAAAGCGGAGAACUUGGAACAUAAAGCUCUUGUCGCUGAAGAAGAANAAAACAAGGUGUGAAGUAAUCAUGCAAAUUACUUGGUACCCUUAAGUGUUUACCCCUCAAUCGAUGUGUCGGUUAACCACACACGCUCCAUAGAUACUAUGAUAAACAUUAAGUUAUCCUUUGCCUACCUUGUUAAAUACAAGUUAGUGUGCCGGUUAACCAUACACACUCCAGUAACCGACUUAAACAAAGUGCAAAGUAUAAUUUCAUGGAUUAGCACCUUAUUCAUAUUUUCCUAAGUAACUAAGAUUAGGUAUUUAUAAAAGUUUAGUUACUUAGUAUUUAUCAUUAAUACUUUUAAUGAAGGGAGAAUUUAUAGUCUUUGUCCUACCCGUUCGGCUAACGACCCUCCACCAAUCAAGGAAGCGGUGGGUGAGAGUGGACACCCAUUAAACUGUCAUUUUAUAGGCAGUAACCUUAUACCCCCUUAUAGAUCGGCUUCGUGAAUGAGGCCUACUAACGGUAAGACUGACUUUACUCUUAUACAUAUAUAUAAAUAUUAUUAACUUAUAAUAUUAUAAAGUAUAAGGGUUGAAUUUUAACUUUUAAAAUUCUAAGGGCUAACUUGGAAUUAAAAUAUUCAUAAGUGAAAACUUUUCAAAUUCCAAAACUUGAGGGAAAGUUUUGAAACUAUUCAAAACUAAUUAAUUCCAUAACUUAUGUGUUUAAAGUAUUUUAAUUAAAAAACUCUUCAAGUUCCAUAACUUGAGGACAAGUUAUGGAAGACUUUAAACUAAUAAAAGAAUGUAACUUCUCUUUAUAUUGUAACUUAUGAAAUUAAUUAAGGUCACAUUUUAUUACUUAAUGAAGUCACUCUUGAACCUCCAUAACUUGAGGACAAGACUCUUCAUUUUUGUAACCAUUGCCAACUUUUAUGAGUUUUAUGAAACUUAAAUGUGACUUUUCAUAUAACUUGAGGACAAGUUACAAAAACACAUUUUAGAAUCAACUCUUAGAUUAAAAUGGAUUGAAAACACAUAAUCAAUUAACUUAUCUAUUAAUCUAAGCAACUCAUAUGAACAAAGAUAAUUCACAUCAAACUUUUUCAUGUAAUUAGCAUAACUUUUAAAGUAAUACAAAACAUGAAUCUAUUGACAAUUAUCUUUGAAAUUGGAUUAGCAUGAACAUUACCACAUCAAAAACAAGUUUAUAAGUUCAAAAACAACUUAUGGUAAUGUUCCUAGUCCAAUUCUAGCCAAAAACCACGAAGAUAUGUUGUCUGGAGGCCAAACUCGUCGAGUUCUUCAUGGAACUCGUCGAGUUCAUGCUCUAAUACAUGAACUCGUCGAGUUUUCUACUAGAACUCGUCGAGUUUUAGACCCUGACAGAUUCUUGGCUUCGAAAAAUCUAUUUGCAUCAAGUAUAAGAGAAAGCAAGCCUAGGCUCUAAUACCACUGUUGGGUUUUGAGCAUUCUAACACUCCUAUGGUGUACAUGCAACCCUAUAAACCUUGGAUCUAUGUUUUCUUUUUAUACAUGCAAAUAAGAACUUUCCAAGGCUUUAAUCCUAACUAGCAUAAUAUGAGGCAACUAUACUACAAAGACUAGUUAAAUGACAUACCUUUUGAUGUAGCUUGAUGUCUUCAAGCUUUAAGAGCUUAGCCCCAAUAGUGUGGAAUCCUCAAGUGGAAUCACAAAUCACCAACACACCUUGGAAUAACCUUGAGAAUAAGGAUACUUUGGUUCACUCUUGUGAAAUCGGCUAGCCCUCUUAGUGUACCCACACUAGUGUCAUUUCACCAACCAAAGACAUCUUUAUAUAAUGUGGAGACUAGGGUUAAACCCAUGACCUUUAAUUUCAUAUGAUCCAUGGGUUAAACACUCAAUGGACUAUCCAUGAAAGCUUAGCCCAUCCUAAAUGAACUUGGCCCAUCACACACAUAUAUCUAAGAGUCCAUAUUUAAUUAGUUCAUUUUGAUCACUUAAUUAAUUCUAAAUUAAUUCUUGAUCAAUACUAAUUAAAUAAUAUGAUUCCAUAUUAAUAUAUUAGAACUUAUAAUAUAUUAAUAUAAUCAUAAAUAUACUAUUCUCAAAAGAUUAUCCAUAUAAAUUGUGCCGGUGAAGUGCAAGCCAAAUGGACCAUGUCGGGUCGGGUUAAGUACGUACCAAAUAUAGUUAUGGACUUAGACAUUAAUCCAACAAAUUAACACAUAAAAGGUAUGUUAUUCUUCAUUAUGUUUUAUAUUUUCAUAGGGUAGCAGUAAUAGUAUGAAACUUAGAUCCUAGGGUGCAUGUACACUUAGGAAAAUCUAUGAACGUUCCUGCUACGUAGAUAGAGAGUCUUGAUGCAUAGAAAACCCAACAAAAAGAUCUAUAAAACAACUACCCAAAAUUCUUGUUGGGAUGUCCAACGAGACAACACGUCUCUAUUCUAAGCCCUAGAUUGUUGAGCGCCUCAUGAAAAACGUAAGCCUCAUAAUAGUAGACUUCCAUAUGUGUUAGUGAGGGAUGAACCCUUACUCCAUAUUUCAGAGAGUGUCUUAAAAAUAAUGUUAGUUGGCGGAAACCAAGGAACCUUGUAACACUUAUUCAUGAUACAAUUCAUGAAUUGUUUUGUAAAGCAUAAUACGACUCAUCUAGUAUCAAAUCAAUCAUCGAUUUGUUUUCUCUUUCCAACUACACUCCUUUCAGUAGUGUUUGGGGUAGAUACAACUUAUGAAAACCUUUUCAUAAUUCCUUAGAUGAUAGAAAUGGUAUUGACUAAUAUGCUAAAUUAUCCUUAUGGAAUAUGAAGAUCUUAUCCUUUUACCCAAAUAAUUCUAAACUUUGUUUUAUGACAAUUCUAAACACCAUAUAGGUUACAGACUCAUGUUUGAAGUUGCUCUUACUAUGCAAUGUAAUUCUUAAUUUCAAGAAUAUUAUUCCAUAUAUUACAUCUCAUUCAAAUAUUUGAAUCAACAUUUUUAAUUGUUGUUAAGGUACCAGUUUUAUAGAUUUCACAACUUUUCUUUCAAAUACAAAACAUAUGAAACGUUCUACAUUUAAGUGAGUCGGAACAACCUCAUGAAAAUUGUAUCAAUAGUUCUUGAAUCAUAAUACCAUAUAUUAAACAUUUGGGAGAACGAGGCGUCUUUUGAUCCAUUGAAUAGUAGCAACAGCCAGGUAUUUAUGAACAAUUUUGCUUAUCCUUGUUUCAGUCCUUUUACUCCUUUCAAGUCACUGCGUAUUUUUGCAAAUGUUAGUACUAUAUACUUAGUAAAAUACUCAACUAUUGGAGGUAAUGUUCAAAUGGUGUUAUGAAUUUUUCAUAUCUGAUUGUAGACUAAAUAUUCAUGAAAACGAGUAGUUGUUUGAUCCUAUAGAUAGUAACAUGGGCUUGUAUGUGACAUCCCCAAAAUCACGGCCAGAAAAGACCGGUUUGUUUAUGCUUUGUUUAAAAAUCAGAGUUACAUUUUAAAUGAAAGCAUUGCGGAAUUUGUCCCAAAACAAAAAUAUGAUAAAGAUUUAUCAAAAGCAUUUCCAUAGAAAUGUAUUUCAUUAAAAGACUCGGGAUGUCAUGUUCGUACAGAUCAAAAGCAUAAACAGUACAAUAUAAGCCUUACUACAUUAUUUCAUAUCUACAGGCCUAUAUCCGUAAUCCCUCGUCCAAAACAUCACACCUAUGCUCAUGCGCCACUACCUGUAAUACAUAAAACUGAGUGGGUCAGGCUUGGGAGCCUGGUGAGCACAUAGGGUUUUC